Molecule: ribosomal RNA, 468 nt
Filed under: uncultured bacterium
Lineage: Bacteria
Description: partial 16S ribosomal RNA
Rfam family: Bacterial small subunit ribosomal RNA
Source: RNAcentral
GACGAACGCUGGCGGCGUGCUUAACACAUGCCAGUCGAACGGAAAGGCCCUGCUUUUGUGGGGUGCUCGAGUGGCGAACGGGUGAGUAACACGUGAGUAACCUGCCCUUGACUUUGGGAUAACUUCAGGAAACUGGGGCUAAUACCGGAUAGGAGCUCCUGCUGCAUGGUGGGGGUUGGAAAGAUUCGGCGUUUGGGGAUGGACUCGCGGCUUAUCAGCUUGUUGGUGGGGUAGUGGCUUACCAAGGCUUUGACGGGUAGCCGGCCUGGGAGGGUGACCGGCCACAUUGCGACUGCGAUACGGCCCAGACUCCUACGGGAGGCAGCAGUGGGGAAUAUUGCACAAUGGGCGGAAGCCUGAUGCAGCAACGCCGCGUGCGGGAUGACGGCCUUCGGGUUGUAAACCGCUUUCGCCUGUGACGAAGCGUGAGUGACGGUAAUGGGUAAAGAAGCACCGGCUAACUACGUG